UACGUAGGGGGCAAGCGUUGUCCGGAAUCAUUGGGCGUAAAGAGCGCGUAGGCGGCCCAGCAAGUCGGGUGUGAAAGCCCGGGGCUCAACCCCGGAAUGGCUUUCGAAACUGCUGAGCUAGAGUACAGAAGGGGCAACCGGAAUUCCCAGUGUAGCGGUGAAAUGCGUAGAUAUUGGGAAGAACACCUGAGGCGAAGGCGGGUUGCUGGGCUGAUACUGACGCUGAUGCGCGAAAGCCAGGGGAGCAAACGGG
RNAcentral lists this ribosomal RNA (253 nucleotides) under uncultured bacterium. Its description in RNAcentral is "partial 16S ribosomal RNA". It matches the Rfam family "Bacterial small subunit ribosomal RNA", at positions 524 to 776 of the family's 1533-position model. The record is from RNAcentral.